This 13522-nucleotide long non-coding RNA is filed under the name Homo sapiens (human). Its description in RNAcentral is "non-protein coding lnc-ESR2-3:8". The record is from RNAcentral. Lineage: Eukaryota; Metazoa; Chordata; Mammalia; Primates; Hominidae.
GCAGUUCGGAAGGACCCGAGUCCCUUAACUAACCGAGAGCUAACAGGUCGGGGACUGCGGGACGGAAGAGGGAGGGGAAGAUGAAGAAAAUCGGUGAUGAAUGGCUGGCGGAAAUGAUUGGCGGAAAGAAAGAGCCAGUUCACAGUGCGCCUUUGUAUUCGGCGGGAAACCCGGCCGAAGAGGGAGCUGGAAAGGACUCCGGAAUCCGGCCGUAAUUCCAGCCAAUCAGGGAGUAGAGUUGCGGGGCGGGGUUGGGGCGGGGCAGUCUCGCGGGAGAUAGUUUCGCGGGUUCGGGAGGCGAGUCUCCGGUUUCCGCCCAGUCUCUGGGGACGCGGUGGCGGGGUCUGAAUCGCCUGGCUUCCAGGGAGUUUUGGGCGGGUCCCCGCACGGGAGCGUGGCAGGCGCUGGACUCGACAGCAGAUGUGGAACUGGAGAGCUUGGCGCGCCCUCAUACUUUGUCACACACCUACGCCACCAGACUGGGGUCGGGCCCCUCCGCGUUCUGCUCUGGAGGGCCUGGGUCUGGGCCCAGCAUAGCGCUUUUAGAAUCUCCUCAGCUGAAUCUGACGCUCAGCCGUAGGUGAAGCUUAGCCCGCUGUUUCAGGCCCCGCCGAUCUGGAAGGAGUGUCAGAGCUGGAGCGCGCGUGGCCUCAUCGGUGUUGGGGUCACCCCGGGGUUGCCAGGGCUCAUGGAGGGUCGUAGUCUGGAUUUUGUCACCCCCACGUCCCCGCCCCGCAGCAAGUCUGGGGUUGGAGAACUCACGCGGUCUUCGUAAGCUACAUGCCAGUUGACCCUCGAGGAGGGAUGCUCCCUCCCCUUAAGCGUCCACGCUGGAGAAGGAGUAAGAUGGACAAUUGCCUGGGGAGCCUGACAGGGCGGUGGCAGCUGGGAUGCUGGAGAGGACUGGCCCCUUGUGUUACUGAGUCCAAGGAAUAUGCUUGCUCUGCUCUAGGAACCGCGUUCAGGUUACAGUCAUCCCAGUAGAGUCCUGAAGAUGCGUGGUUCAGGUCACUUAGGACUUGACCAGAUACCGGGUUUCUUUUACAAGCCGUUUACUACUGGCAGAGCUCAUCUAAAACUUUUUUUGUUUGUUUGUUUGAGACGGAGUCUCAUUCUGUCGCCCAGGCUGGAGUGCAGUGGCACGAUUUUGGCUCACUGCAACCUCCGCUUCCCGGGUUCAAGCAGUUCUCUGCCUCAGCCUCCCGAGUAGCUGGGAUUACAGGCACCACCUAAUUAGCCCGCCACCACGCCCGGCUAAUUUUUGUAUUUUUAGUAGAGACGGGGUUUCACCAUCUUGGCUAGGCUGGUCUUGAACUCCUGACCUCGUGAUCCACCCGCCUCGGCCUCCCAGAGUGCUGGGAUUACAGGCGUGAGCCACCGCACCUGGCCUAAAACUGAUUUUUUAUUAAUUUUGGGGCUUUUAAUAUUUUUUUCUUAUUUCUAAAUUCUGAGGUUAUUUAUAGUAGCCCCAUAUACGGGAUUAGAUAAUCUCUUGUGAUUUUCUAUUUCUGGUAAUUAUUUCUAAUAUAUGUUUUUUUGUUUUUGAGACGGAGUCUCGCUAUGUCGCUCAGGGUGGAGUGCAGUGGCAUGAUCUCCGCUCUUUGUAGCCUCUGCCUCCCGGGUUCAAAUGAUCCUCCCACCUCAGCCCCCCGAGUAGCUUGGACCACAGGUGCAUGCCACCACGCCGGCUAAUUUUUCUAUUUUUGGUAGAGUUGGGGUUUCACUAUGUUGACCAGACUGGUCUAGAUCUCAAGGGAUUAGUCUCCCUUGGCCUCCCAAAAUGCUGGGAUAAUGGGCAUGAGCCACCGUGCGUGGCCUUAAAGUUACUAUUCUUAAAGUUUGCACAAGUGAUAUGUUAAAGGCACAGACUUAGUAAUAUAAUGUCAUUAUAAUAAUAACCCUAAAACACAUUGUCUCAUAUUGUGUUGUACCUAAACAAGUGAAAUUAAGAAGAAAAUUGAAGGAAAUGUUUCUGGUAAAUUGCAGAUAGUGAAUCUUUUGUCUUAUACUAUCAAAUAGGUAUUGACUAUUCCAGCUUUCUUAUUUGUUGAGGAAGAUGGCAGAAAUCCCGUUUUACAGAGGGAUAGACUUUGAAGGAUAAUACCCAAAGCUGCAUAGCUGUGGCUGGUAUAGGCCCCAAACCUGAUGUUUCUUCUCUAAAUCUACUGCCUUUGCCAUCUCAACAGCCUGGUUUUUGACAGUUAUCUAUGUAUGAGUUGCAUAAAUCGUUCAUUCAUGGAGCAAAUAAUUAUUGAGUGGCCACUAUGCCAACAGCACUGCUAUAGAUGCUAGAGAUACCCUAGUGAACCAGCAAAGUUUCUGCUCUCAGCUCAUAUUCUGGUGGAGGAGACAACGAUCAAGUUAAAGAAAUACAUAGGCUAAUUUUAGAGAUUAUGACAUGCUAUAUUUUAAAAAUAGGCAAGCUAAGAGGAUAGGCAGUGAUGCUGGGAGGUGGGAAAGUUUUGUCUCAGAAAUGUGGUAAGAGAUUUCUUUGGGCAUCUGACUUCAGCAGAAACCUUAAUGAAGAGAGGAACUUGGAAUGUAAAAGAAAGAAAGCAGGGAUUUGCUCUGAGCAACUGGAAAGAUGGAAUUGCCAUUCGCUGAGUUGAAAUAAAGUAAAAUGUAGGACUAGGUUUUGGGGUUAAGAUUAUGAAUUCGGCUUUAGACAUUUUUAGAUUUCUCUUAGACAUCCAAAUGGAGAGAAGAUAUUUAAAUCCAUGGGAUUGAAUGAGAUCCAACCAAGGGUAUUGUAGGUAGAGAGAGGACCAAAGACUGACACCUAGAACCUUUCAGUGUUCAGAAUGCAAGGAGACAGGAGGAACCAAGAGGGAAGAUUGAAAAGGAGAGUCCAGCUGGGAGCUGUGGCUACACCUUUACUAAUCCCAGCACUUUGGGAGACCAAAUACAGGAAGAUCACUUGAAUCCAGGAGUUUGUAGAACAGCCUUAGCAACAUAGCAAGACCCUGUCUCUACAAAAAUAAAAAUUAAAAAAUUUGCCUGUAAUCCGAGCAUUUUGGAGGCCGAGGUGGGUGGAUCAGCUGAGGUCAGGAGUUUGAGACCAACUUGGCCAACACAGUGAAACCCCGUCUCUACUAAAAAUACAAAAAUUAGCUGGGCGUGAUGGCUGGCACCUGUAAUCCCAGCUACUCGGGAGGCCGAGGCAGGAGAAUCCCUUGAACCUAGGAGGCAGAGGUUGCAGUGAGCCGAGAUCACGCCACUGCACUCCAGCCUGGGAGACAGAGCGAGACUCCAUCUCAAAAUAAAUAAAUAAAUAAAAAUUUAAAAAGUUAGCUGGGCGUGGUGGCAUGUACCUGUAGUCCCAGUUACUCAGAAGGCUGAGGUGGGAGGAUCCUGUGAGCCUAGGAGUUGGAAACUUCAGUAAGCUAUAAUCAUCACACUGCACUCCAACCUAGGCAACAGAGCAAGACCCUGUCUCUUAAAAGGAAAGGAGAGUCCAGUGUGUUCUAAGGAAAACCCCAAGAGCAUCCCACCUUAGAAUACAAGUGAGGAGGCCUGGCAUGGUGUCUCAUGCCUGUAAUCCCAGCACUUUGGGAGGCCAAGGUGGGUGGAUCACUUGAGGUCAGGAGUUCUAGACCAGCCUGACAAACAUGGCGAAACCUCCGUCUCUAUAAAAAUACAAAAAUUAGCCAGGUGUGGUAGCGCGUGCCUGUAAUCCCAGCUACUAGGGAGGCUGAGGCAGGAGAACUGCUUGAACUCAGGGGGCAGAGUUUGCAGUGAGCCGAGAUAGUGCCACUGCACUCCAGCCUGAGCAACAGAGUGAGACUCUGUCUCAAAAACAAACAAGUAAACAAACAAAAAAAAAAACAAGACAAGUGAAGAAUGUGUUUCAUGGAAAAAGAGGUAAUUAAUUCUGUCAAGUGUUGCAAAUUGGUCAAAUAAAGAAUGAAAAUCAACCUUUCACAGCAAAUAGAAGGAAAAAAUAUUUUUAUUUAAAUGCUUAUAAAGGCAGUUGCUAGAAAAAAUGUUUACUUUUUGCAGAGGCCCCGUUUUUACAACCUUUUUCAGGGGUAAUUUGAUAUGAUAAUAUCUACGGGAAAAAAAAUGUUUUUUUUUUUGAGUCGCUCUGUCACCAGGCUGGAGUGCAGUGGCAUGAUCUCGGCUCACUGAAACCUCCGCCUCCCAGGUUCAAGCAAUUCUUCUGCCUCAGCCUCCCAAGUAGCUGGGACUACAGGUGGGCGCCACCACACCCAGCUAAUUUUUGUAUUUUUAGUAGAGACGGGGUUUCACCAUGUUGGCCAGGAUGGUCUCAAUCUUGACCUCGUGAUCUGCCUUCCUUGGCCUCCCAAAGUGCUGGGAUUGGUACAGGUGUGAACCACCAUACCUGGCCCGAAAAUUUUAAAUUUGUAUUUUCUUUGACAUUGUAAUUCCACUUCCAGGAUUUUUUUUUUUUGGACAGGAUUUUACUCUGUCACCCAGGCUGGAGUGCAGUAACACAAUCAGCUCACUGCAACCCUGAACUCCUGGGCUAAAGUGAUCCUUCUGAGUAGUUGGGACUAUAGGCACAUGCCACCACCCCUGAUUAAUUAAAAAAUUUUCCUGUAGAGAUAGUCUUGCUAUGUUGCCCAGACUGGUCUCCAGCUCCUGGCCUCAAACCAUCCUCCCACCUUGACCUUCCAAAACGUUGGGAUUACAGGCGUGAGCCACCUCUCCCAGUUUAGGAAUUUAUCUUAAAGUAAUAUUUACAUAUAAAGAAAGAUGUAUAGGCUGGGUGCAGUGGUUCACGCCUGUAAUCCCAGCACUUUGGAAGGCCGAGGCUGGUGGAUCAACUGAGGUCAGGAGUUCAAGACCAACCUGGCUAACAUGGCGAAACCCCAUCUCUACUAAAAAUACAAAAAUUAGCUGGGCGUGGUGGCCAGCCCCUGUAAUCCCAGCUACUCGGGAGGCUGAGGCAGGAGGAUAGCUUAAACCCAGGAGACGAAGGUUGCAGUGAGCCAAGAUUACACCAUUGCACUCCAGCCUGAGCAACAAAAGCGAAACUCCAUCUCAAAAAAACAAAAACUAAAACUAAACAAAACAAAAAAACCAUGUGUAAAACUGUUAAUCACAACACUGAUUUCAAUAGCAAAAAACAAAAUUUCUGUCAGGAUGGAUGCAGUUGUUAAAGGAACAGCAGAUACAUAUGUAUAGACAUGUAAGAUAGCUUUCAUACUUUUUUUUUUGAGAUGGAAUUUCGUUCUUGUCACCCAGGCUGGAAUGCAAUGGUGAGAUCUAGGCUCCGCUUCUCAGGUUCAAGUGAUUCUCCUGCCUCAGCCUCCUGAGUAAGCUGGGAAUACAGGCGCCCGCCACCACGCCCAGGUAAUUUUUGUAUGUUUAGUAGAGACAGGGUUUCGCCAUAUUGGCGAGGCUUGUCUCAAACUCCUGACCUCAGGUGAUCCACCCACCUCCAAAAGUGUUGGGAUUACAGGCAUCACCCACCACGCGUGACCAGCUUUUAUACAUUUUUAAAUGAUAAAGACAGGUUAAUAAAAUGUAUAAUAUUAUGUUGCUAUAUCCAAAAAAAGGCCUUCUUUGAUUACACUAUCAAAAGUUACCUCUCCAUCUACAUCCCCAUUACUAUCUCAUUAACCUGUUUUAUUCAUAGCACUUACUACCAUCUAAAAUGACUUUAUUUCUUUAUAUUUUUGUUUGCUACCUGUCUUUUACACCAGAAUUUAAUUUUUAAGCUUUUUUUGUUUGUUUGUUUGUUUGUUUUGAGAUGGAGUCUUGCUCUGUUGCCCAGACUGGAGUGCAGUGGUGCGAUCUCAGCUCACUGCAACCUCUGCCUCCUGGGUUCAAUCAAUCCUCCUGCCUCAGCCUCCCAAGUAGCUGGGAUUACAGGCAUGUGCCACCAUGCCCAGCUAAUUUUUGCAUUUUUAGUACAGCAGGGUUUCACCAUGUUGGUCAAGCUGGUCUCAAACUCCUGACCUCAGGAGAUCCGUCAGCCUUGGCCUCCCAAAGUGUUGGGAUUACAGGCGUGAGCCACAGCACCCAGCCAGAAUUUAAACUUUAUAAGAGAUUUCCUGUCUUGUUCAUACUUAUAUACCUGCAGCUUCGAAACAUAUAUAUAUGUUUAAUAUAUAUAAUAGAUAUAUUUUAAAUUAUAUAUAGAGAGAUGGAGUUUCACUCUUGUUGCCCAGACUGGAGUGCAAUGGCGUGAUCUCGGCUCACCACAACCUCUGCCCCCCGGGUUCAAGCAAUUCUCCUGCCUCAGCCUCCAGAGUAGUUGGAAUUACAGGCACGUGCCACCAUGCCUGGCUAAUUUUGUAUUUUUAGUAGAGACAGAGUUUCUCCAUGUUGGUCAGGCUGGUCUCGAGCUCUUGACCUCAGGUAGUCUGCCUGCCUCGGCCUCACAAAGUGCUGGGAUUACAAGCAUGAGUCACUGUGCCCUGCCAGAAUUUAAGCUUUAUAAGAGAUUUCCUGUCUGUUUAUACUUAAAUACCUGCAGCUUGGAAACAUAUAUAUGUUUAUAUGUAUAUAUUACAUACAUUAUAUAUAUAUUUUUAUAUAUUAUAAUUAUAAACUCCUGACCUCAGGUGAUCCACCUGCCUCAGUCUCUCAAAUGCUGGGAUUACAGGCGUGAGCCACCACGCCAGGCCAGAAACAUAUUUUUAAAAAUCUUGUUUUAGAGGAAAAACAGAGUAUUUCUUUUUUUUUUUUUAUUAGAUGGAUUCUCACUCUAUUGCCCAGGCUGGAGUACAGUGGCACAAUCUUGGCUCACCGCAACCUCAGCCUCCCGGGUUCAAGCAAUUCUCCUGCCUCAGCCUCCCGAGUAGUUGGAACUAUAGGCGUGAGCCACCAUGCCCUGCUAAUUUUUGUAUUUUUAGUGCAGAUGGGGUUUCACUAUGUUGGCCAGGCUGGUCUCGAACUCCUGACCUUGUGAUCUGCCCACCUCGGCCUCCCAAAGUGCUGGGAUUACAGGUGUGAGCCACUGCGCCCGGCCUAUUUCUUCUUCUCUUUGUUUAGUUAUUAUCUAUUACUCUCAUUCCUAUGAACAUAACUUGUUUCUCCCCACUUAAUUUUUAUCAUACAUAAUUGUAGACAGUGGGCACUGUCUUCAAUUAUAGUGAAUUUAGCAGUAAAUUCACAUUAGACCAACUUGUAUAGCUUUAAAAAAUAUAUUUAUGUCUAGGUUCCACCCUUGACCAACUAAGUCAGAACUUGGGUGGGUUCAAGGUUCAUUAUUCUUUGAAGAUAAGAUGAUGUUUGAAUAAAAUUCCUGGUGAUUCUGGUAUCAAAAAUACAAAUUUGGGACAUACUUUUUCUGCUGUAAAAAUAUUUUCCUAAGGCCAGGCGCAGUGGCUCACGCCUGUAAUCCUAGCACUUUGGGAGACGGAGGCGGCGGAUCACUUGAGGCCAGGAGUUCAAGACCAGUCUGGCCAACAUGGUGAAACCCAGUCUCUACUAAAAAUAGAAAAAAUUAGCCAGGCAUGGUGGCACGUGCCUGUAGUCCCAGCUACUCAAGAGGCUGAGGCAGGAGAAUCCUUUGAACCCGGGAGGCAGAGGUUGCAGUGAGCCGAUAUUGCAGCACUGCACUCCAGCCUGGGUGACAGAUCAAAACUCUGUCUCAGAAAAAAAAAAAAAAAAAAAAAGAAUUUCCUAGAAUUAGAAUCGCAGGGGUUUUUUUUGUUUUGUUUGUUUGUUUGUUUGUUUGUUUUUGAGACAGAGUUUCACUCCUGUCGCCCAGGCUGGAGUGCAAUGCCAUGAUCUCGGCUCAUUGCAACCUCUGCCUCCUGAGUUCAAGCAAUCCUCCUGCCUCAGCCUCCCGAAUAGCUGGGAUUACAGGCACCUGCCACCAUGCCCAGCUAAUUUUUGUAUUUUUAGUAGAGACUGGGUUUUACCAUGUUGGCCAAGCUGGUCUCGAACUCCUGACGUCAGGUGAUCCACCCAGCUCAUUCUCCCAAAGUGCUGGAAUUACAAGCAUGAGCCACUGCACUCGGCCUUUAUUUAUUUAUUUAUUUUUGAGAUGAAGUCUUGCUCUGUUGCCCAAGCUGGAGUGCAAUGGCAUGAUCUCGGCUCACUGCAACCUCCACCUCCCAGGUUCAAGCAAUUCUCCUGCCUCAGCCCCCUGAGUAGCUGGGAUUACAGGCGUGCACCACCACGCCUGGCUAAUUUUUGUAUUUUUAGUAGAGACAGGGUUUCACUAUGUUGGUCAGGUUAGUCUCGAGCUCCUGACUUCGUGAUCCGCCCGCCUCAGCCUUCCAAAGUGUUGGGAUUACAGGCGUGAGCCACCGCGCCUGGCCAGAAUCCCAGUUUUUUAACACAUCUAAUGCUUUAGGAAUAGUAAAUGGAAACAUCAUUUCCCCUUCUUUCGAAGUACUUCUACCUUGAUGAGAUGUAUGUAUUGGAGUACAAUAUUUGACCUAGCCAAGAAUUUCACAAAAGAAGCCCAAAAUAUGAUUUUCACGUUUACUGGACUGUUCACUUUUGGUGGGAUCACUUUCUUAAGAUUACUUAAAGUACUAAUGCUUGAUGAAAAUCAUUUGUGUUUUCACUUCAUUAAUUGGAGAAAGAGCUACAUGUUUUUGUUGUUGUUGUUGUUGUUUUGAGAUGGUGUCUUGCUCUGUCUCCCAGGCUGGAGUGCAAUGGCGUGAUCUCAGCUCACUGCAACCUCCGCCUCCCGGGUUCAAGCGAUUCUCCUGCCUCAGCCUCCUGAGUAGCUGGGACUACAGGCGCCUGCCACCACGCCCAGCUAAUUUUUAUACUUUUAAUAGAGACAGGGUUUCACCAUAUUGGCCAGGAUGGUCUCAAUCUCUUGACCUUGUGAUCCACCCGCCUUGGCCUCCCAAAGUGCUGGGAUUACAGGCGUGAGCCACUGCGCCCAGCCAGAGCUACAGGUUUUACUGUAACACUUUAGAAGGUCCUUUUUCUUUGUACCUCUGUGAUGUGUUCACCUAGCAACAGCUUCUUUGAUAUGCAAACAUUCUACAGGCAAAUUGCUCAGAGCAGCUACUCAUGUUGGACAAUUCAGGUCUCUUCUGGAAACUGGCCUUGUAUUUGGAAUUUUCUCCAGAGUCUGAUGUGGUAAAAAUUUAUACUUUUCACUUCUUACUAAAUGCAGCAUAGCAUACUACAUCUUUUGAGUGUGUAAAAAAUAAAGUAGUCAUGUACAAACCUAAAAUCACAGAAUAAUCAUGUAACGGUGCUAUAUUUUAUUUUUACUUUAGAUUCCUAAUACAUUUUUAUUGUAUCUUUAUAAGGUUAGUUUGGGAGAAUAGCACUAUCAUCAUCUAUAUUAGUUAACUUUGCAUUAAGGUUUUUCAUUAAGGUUUUUCCCCUGUUUGGUUCUUUCAUUUUACGAUCCAUAUUUUUUGUGCCUGGUAUGGGAUGAUAAAGAUAACAGAAAUAGCUCCUGUUUUUAGGUACCUUUAUUUGUUUGUUUGUUUGGAGACAGGGUCUUACUCUGUCACCCAGGCUGGUGGCACAAUCAUAGCUUACUACAGACUAACUCCUGGCUCAAGCCAUCCUCCACCUCAGCCUCCCAAGUAACUGAGAUUACAGGUGCACACCACCACCUCUGGCUAAUUAUUAAAAUUUUCAUAGAGACAGGAUCUCACUUGGUUGGCCAGACUGAUCUCAAACUCCUGGUCUCAAGUGAUCCUCCCACCCCAGCCUCCUGAAGUACUAGGAUUGCAGGCAUGAACCACUGCCCUGGCCUAGAUACAUUUAAUGUAGUAGAGGAGAUGAGAUUUUUACAUAGUAUAAUAUUGAAUGAGACAACAGUCAAAAGAAAAUCACAUACUAUAAGAGAAGAGAUUACCCUUACCUUUUAGGAAUCAAGAAAACUCCCUGGAGGAGAUGGUACUUGAACUUAUACUGGAGGAUUUAUAUGUUCAUCCUUCUUGGUUUAUAUUUUGUCCCACACGGUAGCUUGUUUCUUUUUUCUUUUUUUUCUUUUUCUUUUUUUUUUUUUGAGGCAGAGUUUUGCUCUGUUGCCCAGGCUAGAGUGCAGUGGCGCGAUCUCGGCUCACUGCAACCUCCACCUCCUGGGUUCAAGCGAUUCUCCUGCCUCAGCCUCCCUAGUAGCUUGUUUCUUAGAGACAGUGUGAGUGAAACUCAUUAAGUAAAGUCAAUACAGCACAAGUUUCAUAAAAUGGUAAAGAAAUAGAAAUAAAAGUAAAGGAUGAAAUUCUUAAGAACUUUGUCAGGCCAGGCGUGGUGGCUCAUGCCUGUAAUCCCAGCACUUUGGGAGGCCGAGGUGGGUGGAUCACCUGAGGUCAGGAGUUUGAGACCAGCCUGGCCAACAUGGCAAAACCCUGUCUCUCUAAAAAUACAAAAAUUAGCUGGGCAUGCUGGCGGGUGCCUAUAAUCCCAGCUACUCGGGAGGCUGAGGCAGGAGAAUCGCUUGAACCCAGGAGGCGGAGGUUGCAGUGAGCCGAGAUCACAUCAUUCCACUCCAGCCUGGGUGCCAAGAGCAAAAAACUCCAUCUUGAAAAAUAAAGAACUUUGUCUCCAGUAUCAUUCUUGUUCUAGGACUGAGAAACAGUUCAUUCUUCAUUUUCGUCUACUAAAAUUUAAGUUCUUUGAUUUUCUUCUUUAGGUCUUGGAAAAAGAAUUAAUAGAGUAAUUUUCUUAGGUAUCAAGUAAUGAAAAUGAGAAAAGAGACUAGUCUCAUUAUAGAUUUUUUUUUUUAUUCUUAUUUUAUUUUAUUUGAGACAAGGUCUCGCUCUGUCACCCAGGCUGGAGUGUAGUGGCUCCAUUAUGGUUCCCUGCAGCCUUGAACUCAGGGGCCCAAGCAAUCCUCCCACCUCAGCAUCCCGAGCAGCUGGGACUACAGGUGCAUGCCACCAUGCCUGGCUAAUUUUUGUGCUUUUUCGUGUAUAAAGAUGAGAUUUCGCCAUGUUGCCCAGGCUGGUCUCAAACUCCUGGGCUCAAGAGAUCUGUCCACCUCAGCCUCCUAAAGCGCUGAGAUUACAGGCAUGAGCCACCACGUCCAGCCUAGAGAUAUUUAUACUUUAAUAGCUGCCUGCAAUACCAAUACACCUAGAAUGAAUUAGAAGAAUUUGAAAACAGAUUUCAGGAUUAGUAAAAGAAAGUCAAGCCCUAUGCCUCCUGUUCUACAUUCCUCAAAUCACAUAAUCCUGAUUUUUUCCUCUUCGUAUGAAAAUUCCUCUCAUUUUGGGCCUGUUUGAUUUUUUGGGAGACACCACCCAGCAGAAACACACCGCACUUACAUGCAACCCCUCCAUUGCACAGUUUCUAAAUGCCCCCCCGCUUUUUUUUCCAUUCUCUGAUCCUAAAAAAAGAAAUCCAGUGGCACAAUCACGGAUCUCUGCAGCCUUGAUCUCUUAGCCUCAAGUGAUUCUCCUGCCUCAGCUUCCUGAGUAGCUGGGACCACAGGUGCUUGCCACCAUGCCCAGCUAUUUUUUUUUCUUUGUUUUUUUGUAAAGAUGUGUCUCACUAUCUUGCCCAGGCUGAUAUUGAAUUCCUGGGCUCAAGUGAUCCUCCUACCUUGGCCUCCCAAAGUGCUGGGAUUUUAUAUAUAUAUAUAUAUAUAUAUAUAUAUAUAUAUAUAUUUCCAUUUUACUUAUGUUAAUGCUUUCCCUCUUUUGGCAUAGAAAAGCUAAUAAAGCUUAAACUUAAAUGGAACUUGUAUAAACACAAUAUAUCUGAUGAUACCUUUGAGAGAUGUCUUACAUUUGUCUUUUCUUUCAGCAAAAUGUGAUGCCAGUCCCUGAAAUGUGUAGCAAUUUAAUUAUGGGUAGCAUUCUUCUUUCCCUGUACUUACUAUAGUAUUAACUUACUACUAAUGCUAAGAAGUUUAUAAUUUUUGAUAAUUCAGAUUUGGAUUAGAUUAAGAUUUAUGUCUAUGCAUAAUUCAUUAAAAACUUUUUAAACCAAAUUGUCAAAAAAGAUUGUAGGUACCUUGUUUAAAGAAAAUAUAUAAGCUAGUUUCAAGAAUUCCAAAAUAUUUUUUAAAAGCAGCUCUGUACAUGUCGAUAAAUUAUUUGCUCAUUGUAAUUUUUUGAAUCUGUUUGUCAAAGCAAAUGUAGACGGGCUCGAACUCCUGACCUCAAAUGAUCCACCCGCCUCAGUCUCCCAAAUGCUGGUAUUACAGGCAUGAGCCACUGCUCAUGGCCUGUUAUCAUUUUUAAUUGAAAAUUUUACUGAGAUAAUUGUAGAUUCACUUGCCAUUAUAAGAAAUAAUUCAGAGAUAUCACUUGUAUACUUAGCCCAGUGUCCCCCAAAGGUAAAAUUUUGCAAAAUUAUAGUCUAAUGUAACAGCGUGAAUAUUGACAUUAAUACAAUCCACUGAGUUUAUUCAGAUUUCCCCAGUUUUACUUGUAUUCAAUUGUGUGUUUGUGUAUUAAGUUCGAUAUAACUAGUCAAUAUACUGAACAGUUCUAACAUCACAAGUAUCCUUCAGGUAGCCCUUUUGUAUCCACAUCCACUUCCUUCUCAUCCCCAACUAUUGACAACCACUAAUCCCUUUUCCAUUUCUAAAAUGUGAUUUCAAAAAUGUUACAUACUUGGCUGGGGGCGGUGGCUCAUGCCUGUAAUCCCAGCACUUUGGAUAUACGGUCUCUACUAAAAAUACAAAAAUUAGCUGGGAGUGGUUGUGCACACCUGUAAUCCCAGGUGCUUGGGAAGCUGAGGCAGGAGAAUUGCUUGAACCCAGGAGGCAGAGCUUGCAGUGAGCCGAGAGUGUGCCACUUCACUCCAGCCUGGGCAACAGAGUGAGACUCUGUUUCAAAAAUAAAUAAAUAAAUAAAUAAAAUGGUCUUCAUACAGCCUUUGCUGCUAGGAAAUAUAGUUUCUAAUUAAUGUAAUUUUUUGUCAAAUACAAAAUGCUUCUGAACGUUUCUGGUUAUCAAGCUGGUAAUCUUUCACAGUGUCCUCAAUUUUUUUUUCUACUCUCUUACUAGUUCUCCAGAUCACAUGCAGGCUAUUAAGAAAUGUGAACUAACAAGUUAAAGUAGCAGGACGGGCGCUGUGGCUCACACCUAUAAUCCCAGCACUUUGGGAAGCUGAGGCAGGUGGAUCACUUGAGGUCAGGAGUUUGAGAGCAGCCUGGCCAACAAGGUGAAACCACAUCUCUACUAAAAAAAAAAAAAAUUUGCCAGGUGUGGUGGUGCAUACCUGUAAUCCUAGCUAUUUGGGAGGCUGAGGCAUGAGAAUCGCUUGAACCCAGGAGGCAGAGGCUGCGGGGAGCCAGGAUCAUAGCACUGCACUCCAGCCUGGGUGACAGAGCUAGACCCUGUCUGAAAAAAAAAAAAAAUGUUAGUAGCAGCAGAGCACAGUGGCUCAUGCCUGUAAUCCCAACACUAUGGGAGUCUGAGGCGGGAGGAUCUCUUGAGCUUAGGAGUUCAAGACCAGCCUGACAACAUAGUAAGACUCCAUCUCUACAAAUAAUCAUUAAAAAAAUUAGCCGGGCGUAGUGGCACCUACCUGUAGUCCCAGCUACUGGGGAGGCUGAGAUGGGAGGAUCACCUGGGCCUGGGAGGUCAAGGCUGCAGUGAGCUGUGAUCGCCAUUGUACUCCAAACUGGGUGACAAGAGUGAGACCAUGCCUCAAAAAUAAUAAU